AGUGAACGCUGGCGGUAGGCCUAACACAUGCAAGUCGAACGGCAGCACAGUAAGAGCUUGCUCUUACGGGUGGCGAGUGGCGGACGGGUGAGGAAUACAUCGGAAUCUACUUUUUCGUGGGGAUAACGUAGGGAAACUUACGCUAAUACCGCAUACGACCUACGGGUGAAAGCAGGGGAUCUUCGGACCUUGCGCGAUUGAAUGAGCCGAUGUCGGAUUAGCUAGUUGGCGGGGUAAAGGCCCACCAAGGCGGCGAUCCGUAGCUGGUCUGAGAGGAUGAUCAGCCACACUGGAACUGAGACACGGUCCAGACUCCUACGGGAGGCAGCAGUGGGGAAUAUUGGACAAUGGGCGCAAGCCUGAUCCGGCCAUACCGCGUGGGUGAAGAAGGCCUUCGGGUUGUAAAGCCCUUUUGUUGGGAAAGAAAAGCAGCAGGUUAAUACCCCGCUGUUCUGACGGUACCCAAAGAAUAAGCACCGGCUAACUUCGUG
Molecule: ribosomal RNA, 491 nt
Filed under: uncultured bacterium
Lineage: Bacteria
Description: partial 16S ribosomal RNA
Rfam family: Bacterial small subunit ribosomal RNA
Source: RNAcentral